AUGAAUGUAACUGUACUGUAUUCCUAAAAUGUACCAAUAAACUCAAUAAGAAAAAAAAUUUUAUGGAGGGAAUUAUUUGGGAUUCAAAAACUAUAUAUUGUCAAUCUCCCACUCUAUCAGGUUGGUGAGUCCCCACUUUGGAAGUCAGAGCCCAAAGCUUACUCAUCAUUGGACUUGCUGCACGCAUACACCCCACCUUCUGUACAGGCCCUGAAUAACUGAAAGUGUUAAAGAGACUUGAUUGCUCAGACUGAACUAUCCCAAGUUGUUGCCAUUUGGCCUGCUAGCCACUGUUAAAUGCAUUUUUGCAAAAAGCACGACUCAUUUAUAUAACAUAUCAGCUCCCCCUUGUGACUAUCCUGUAGGGAAUUUGACAGGAAAUAAAGACACCUUUUAACAAUCUGAUUCCAUUUCUUUUGUAGGGUGAUUAGGAAAAAUUGAUUCUCAAGGAUAAUCACAGUCAUGCACAGAAAACCCAAGCCCAUGAAAUUAGUGAGACCGGGACUCUUUAUGCUCUGAUUGUAAUGACACAUCAUUACUACUUGAUUCAUUUAUAAAGGCCCCACACACCUCCAGGAAGACCGAAUGCUCCUCCAAACUGCAGAAACAAGUGAACAAUGCAGGUUCAUCAUCUCCUUUUUGUGCUCUCGGGCCACCUCAUGUUCCCUGUCAAAGUCUUUCAAAAUAUCCAUAAGGCUAAUUAUUAAUCAUCUUCCACCUGCUGGGACAAAAUACGCAGCACUCACAACAUAAAGGAGAGGUUUAUUUUGGCUCCCGGUGUAGUCCAGUUGUCUGGCUCCGAGAGAGAACAAUAUGGUGGAAGGCGUGGCAGAAGAAAGCGGUGCAAUCUGUGACAGCCGGGAAGCGGAGACCGAGAGGAGGAGCCAGGGUGCAGAAUGCACCUUCCAGUCCUCAGCCCCAGGACUACACAUAAUCCACCUAGUGGCUGUGCUAUGCCUUAAUACCUUGGAAUCAUUGUAAUCCAUCAGACGGAAGGGUAAAAACAGCCUAUGGGAGGUGGAGCUAUUUCCUAAUACUCCUGACUGAAAAUUACAUGCAUAAAGUCAGCUUACACUGCCCUAAUAUCCGUGUGGCCACACCAGAAUAUAAAGGGGAAAAGAACACGCCAUUGCAACAAGUACCUAAACAAAGAAGAAAGCAACAGGUUCUGGGGAAAAUAUCACUUCAAGGAUUCAAGCAAGUGACUGCGCAUGGGCAAUAAACAAGAUGGAGUGAGCAGAGUAUACCUGAUAAAAUGAAGGAAUGUUGCCAAUCUAACAAGGCUCAGGGAAGAUGCAGAUGUUCUAGUGUCCCACGGCUCUUUUAAUCAAUGCAGGAGAAAAUAAAUGUGGCUACUGAGUAUUUGAAAUGUGGUUGGUGAAACUGAACAACCAAAUCUUUAACAUUUUAGAAAUUUAAUUAAUCAGUUGGAACUCCUUAUGCGAGGAGGUAGAUUUUAACUUUUUAAAACAAUAACAUUCAGCAGCAACGGCAACAUAUAGCUUGGGGGCACCUACCAGAUGUCAAGUGCGAUUCAAAGCACUUUGGAUUAAUCAGAUUGUCCUUCAUAACAACUCUGUGAGGUUAGUACUUUCCUAUAACUGUCAUUUUGCUGAUAAGGAAAUAUAGGCACAGAGUUGUUUGAUACAUUUUUUACCUUUAUGAAACAUACAGUCCAGUGCAGGAAAUAGACAAACAGAUAAUUCUAUUGUAGUUGUGGUAACAACUGUGGAAGAGACCACAAAAUACCUGUUAUAAACCAGAAGGGAAAAAUAGAAAUUGACCUAAUGAUGAAAACAGAGAGGUUUCAAUGAAAAAUGGAAUGUGUUAGGCAUGAGGUAGGGGAGAGUGGGUGAACUGGCUGCAUAACAAUUCUCUCCUAAAAUCCCAGUGCUGUCCAUUUCUUCUUUCCCUCUGGCCUAGAAGAAUACAGUGUUCAAGUUACUCUUUUAUCCACCUAGAAAAUACUCAGUUGUCUUUGGGCCUGGACCCUACUUUGGAUUGUAAUAUGUGGAGCCAACAAUAAAUAUCAAAAUAUCAAAAUGAAGAGGAACUGCUGCCCUUCCCCUACCCUUAGGCUUCAAUGGGUCUGAUCCUUAUCUUCUUAAAGCCAAAAAGCAACUGCCAUGGCCUGGUUGCCCUUUCCCUAGAAUAGGUCAGCCUGGCUACAACUCAGCCCAUUUACACGCAUCAUUAAGGCUAAUGAUUAGCUAACUUGUUCCUUCUCUAGGCCUAAUGAGGUGUGAGGUGAUAGGUCUGUAGUUCAGUGUAAAAGAUACAAAAAUUAGAUGCCCAGAAAUUAUUCCUUUAGAAGUGAUGCAAUGAAUCCAAUAUGGUUCCUCCUAUGUUAGCUUAGAGUAACACAACCCAAGUGGUAACCCAAAUUAUUUGUGCAAGAUUUUAACCUUUGUGAUGAUAGUAGAGGAUUUUUUCUUAAUGUGCAUGCUGUAACCUGUAUGUACAAGUAUGCAUUCCUUUUUGUAAAACUAUGA
Molecule: long non-coding RNA, 2492 nt
Organism: Fukomys damarensis (Damara mole-rat)
Lineage: Eukaryota; Metazoa; Chordata; Mammalia; Rodentia; Bathyergidae
Exons: 4
Source: RefSeq, a predicted model, not a curated record